This 253-nucleotide ribosomal RNA is filed under the name uncultured bacterium. Its description in RNAcentral is "partial 16S ribosomal RNA". It matches the Rfam family "Bacterial small subunit ribosomal RNA", at positions 524 to 776 of the family's 1533-position model. The record is from RNAcentral.
UACGAAGGGGGCUAGCGUUGUUCGGAAUUACUGGGCGUAAAGCGCGUGUAGGCGGUUGCCAUAGUCAGGUGUGAAAGCCUUGAGCUUAACUCAAGAAAUGCACUUGAUACUGGGCGACUAGAGGACCGGAGAGGAUAGUGGAAUUCCCAGUGUAGUGGUGAAAUACGUAGAGAUCGGGAGGAACACCUGUGGCGAAGGCGGCCGACUGGGCCGACCCUGACGCUGAGGCGCGAAGGCGUGGGGAGCAAACAGG